This 253-nucleotide ribosomal RNA is filed under the name uncultured bacterium. RNAcentral's name for it is "partial 16S ribosomal RNA". It matches the Rfam family "Bacterial small subunit ribosomal RNA", at positions 524 to 776 of the family's 1533-position model. The record is from RNAcentral.
UACGUAGGGCGCAAGCGUUGUCCGGAAUUAUUGGGCGUAAAGAGCUCGUAGGUGGCUUGUCGCGUCUGCCGUGAAAGCCCAUGGCUUAACUGUGGGUCUGCGGUGGAUACGGGCAGGCUGGAGGCUGGUAGGGGCAAGCGGAAUUCCUGGUGUAGCGGUGAAAUGCGCAGAUAUCAGGAGGAACACCGGUGGCGAAGGCGACUUCCUGGCCUGUUCUUGACGCUGAGGCGCGAAAGCUAGGGUAGCAAACGGG